GACGGGGCCCGCACAAGCGGUGGAGCAUGUGGUUUAAUUCGAAGCAACGCGAAGAACCUUACCAGGUCUUGACAUCCCUGACAACCCGAGAGAUUGGGCGUUCCCCUUCGGGGGACAGGGUGACAGGUGGUGCAUGGUUGUCGUCAGCUCGUGUCGUGAGAUGUUGGGUUAAGUCCCGCAACGAGCGCAACCCUCGCCUCUAGUUGCCAGCAUUCGGUUGGGCACUCUAGAGGGACUGCCGGCGACAAGUCGGAGGAAGUGGGGAUGACGUCAAAUCAUCAUGCCCCUUAUGACCUGGGCUACACACGUGCUACAAUGGGCGGUACAAAGGGCUGCGAACCUGCGAGGGGGAGCGAAUCCCAAAAAGCCGCUCUCAGUUCGGAUUGCAGGCUGCAACUCGCCUGCAUGAAGCCGGAAUCGCUAGUAAUCGCGGAUCAGCACGCCGCGGUGAAUACGUUCCCGGGCCUU
RNAcentral lists this ribosomal RNA (468 nucleotides) under uncultured Geobacillus sp. RNAcentral's name for it is "bacterial SSU rRNA". It matches the Rfam family "Bacterial small subunit ribosomal RNA", at positions 916 to 1381 of the family's 1533-position model. The record is from RNAcentral. Lineage: Bacteria; Bacillati; Bacillota; Bacilli; Caryophanales; Anoxybacillaceae.